Molecule: ribosomal RNA, 366 nt
Filed under: uncultured bacterium
Lineage: Bacteria
Description: bacterial SSU rRNA
Rfam family: Bacterial small subunit ribosomal RNA
Source: RNAcentral
AACGAACGCUGGCGGCAUGCCUAACACAUGCAAGUCGAACGAACCCUUCGGGGUUAGUGGCGCACGGGUGCGUAACGCGUGGGAAUCUGCCCUUUGGUUCGGAAUAACUCAGGGAAACUUGAGCUAAUACCGGAUGAUGACUUCGGUCCAAAGAUUUAUCGCCAAAGGAUGAGCCCGCGUAGGAUUAGCUAGUUGGUGGGUAAUGGCCCACCAAGGCGACGAUCCUUAGCUGGUCUGAGAGGAUGAUCAGCCACACUGGGACUGAGACACGGCCCAGACUCUACGGGAGGCAGCAGUGGGAAUAUUGGACAAUGGGCGAAAGCCUGAUCCAGCAAUGCCGCGUGAGUGAUGAAGGCCUUAGGGUUG